GUCGAGCGAACAGAUGAGAAGCUUGCUUCUCUGAUGUUAGCGGCGGACGGGUGAGUAACACGUGGGUAACCUACCUAUAAGACUGGGAUAACUCCGGGAAACCGGGGCUAAUACCGGAUAAUAUUUUGAACCGCAUGGUUCAAUAGUGAAAGACGGUUUCGGCUGUCACUUAUAGAUGGACCCGCGCCGUAUUAGCUAGUUGGUAAGGUAACGGCUGACCAAGGCGACGAUACGUAGCCGACCUGAGAGGGUGAUCGGCCACACUGGAACUGAGACACGGUCCAGACUCCUACGGGAGGCAGCAGUAGGGAAUCUUCCGCAAUGGGCGAAAGCCUGACGGAGCAACGCCGCGUGAGUGAUGAAGGUCUUCGGAUCGUAAAACUCUGUUGUUAGGGAAGAACAAAUUUGUUAGUAACUGAACAAGUCUUGACGGUACCUAACCAGAAAGCCACGGCUAACUACGUGCCAGCAGCCGCGGUAAUACGUAGGUGGCAAGCGUUAUCCGGAAUUAUUGGGCGUAAAGCGCGCGUAGGCGGUUUCUUAAGUCUGAUGUGAAAGCCCACGGCUCAACCGUGGAGGGUCAUUGGAAACUGGGAAACUUGAGUGCAGAAGAGGAGAGUGGAAUUCCAUGUGUAGCGGUGAAAUGCGCAGAGAUAUGGAGGAACACCAGUGGCGAAGGCGGCUCUCUGGUCUGUAACUGACGCUGAUGUGCGAAAGCGUGGGGAUCAAACAGGAUUAGAUACCCUGGUAGUCCACGCCGUAAACGAUGAGUGCUAAGUGUUACGGGGUUUCCGCCCCCUUUAGUGCUGCAGCUAACGCAUU
Molecule: ribosomal RNA, 822 nt
Filed under: Mammaliicoccus sciuri
Lineage: Bacteria; Bacillati; Bacillota; Bacilli; Caryophanales; Staphylococcaceae
Description: bacterial SSU rRNA
Rfam family: Bacterial small subunit ribosomal RNA
Source: RNAcentral